ACGGUAUUGAGCAUAAGGGAUUGACUGAAUCAAUGGUUUAGGAUGAGUGCUAUUCUGAUGUAAUAUAGUGUUUAGAUCCAUCAGUUUGUAGAAAAGGGUAUAAGAGAGCCCUUGAUCAACGACAGCUAUUUCCAAAUCCAAACAUUUUAUUUUUUCAGUACUGAUAUGCGCUGUCAGUCUAAAUGGUUUAGGUAUUCAACCCUAUGUGCCUGGGGUACUGUCCCCCUCCAUAGAAUUAGC
Pelobates cultripes (western spadefoot toad) is the source of this 240-nucleotide non-coding RNA. The record is from the annotation of a GenBank genome assembly. Lineage: Eukaryota; Metazoa; Chordata; Amphibia; Anura; Pelobatidae.